GGGGAUGUAGCUCAGCAGGGAGAGCGUGGCGUUCGCAACGCCGAGGUCAGGGGUUCGAAUCCCCUCAUCUCCA
RNAcentral lists this transfer RNA (73 nucleotides) under Syntrophobacterales bacterium. Its description in RNAcentral is "tRNA-Ala". It matches the Rfam family "tRNA". Rfam says of the family: Transfer RNA (tRNA) molecules are approximately 80 nucleotides in length. The record is from RNAcentral. Lineage: Bacteria; Pseudomonadati; Thermodesulfobacteriota; Syntrophobacteria; Syntrophobacterales.